GGGUUGGGCUUAGUCAAUUCCUAUUUGAUUAAAAUUUUAUUGAGCCUAAUUAAGCCUAAUUAAGUUAGAUUUAAAUUAGUCUAAUUGGACCUAACUUAUUUGGUUUAAUUAGGUUGGUUUAAAUAAUUAAACCACCUUGACCCAAUCUCCAUGUGCCACCUCACUUCCAUUGCACCCAUUUGAAUUCAUGAGAAGGAACUUCUCAUGAAUUAUU
Molecule: long non-coding RNA, 214 nt
Filed under: Elaeis guineensis (African oil palm)
Lineage: Eukaryota; Viridiplantae; Streptophyta; Magnoliopsida; Arecales; Arecaceae
Description: long non-coding RNA (EGUI_LNC072238)
Source: RNAcentral